This 467-nucleotide ribosomal RNA is filed under the name uncultured bacterium. Its description in RNAcentral is "partial 16S ribosomal RNA". It matches the Rfam family "Bacterial small subunit ribosomal RNA", at positions 28 to 507 of the family's 1533-position model. The record is from RNAcentral.
GACGAACGCUGGCGGCGUGCUUAACACAUGCGAGUCGAACGGAAAGGCUCCAGCUUGCUGGAGUACUCGAGUGGCGAACGGGUGAGUAACACGUGGGUAAUCUGCCCUGCACUCUGGGAUAAGCCUGGGAAACUGGGUCUAAUACUGGAUAUGACCUUUCUCCUUAUGGGGUUUGGUGGAAAGUUUUUCGGUGUGGGAUGAGCCCGCGGCCUAUCAGCUUGUUGGUGGGGUGAUGGCCUACCAAGGCGACGACGGGUAGCCGGCCUGAGAGGGUGAUCGGCCACAUUGGGACUGAGAUACGGCCCAGACUCCUACGGGAGGCAGCAGUGGGGAAUAUUGCACAAUGGGCGGAAGCCUGAUGCAGCGACGCCGCGUGAGGGAUGACGGCCUUCGGGUUGUAAACCUCUUUCAGCAGGGACGAAGCGUAAGUGACGGUACCUGCAGAAGAAGCACCGGCUAACUAUGUG